This is a non-coding RNA of Callithrix jacchus (white-tufted-ear marmoset), 4250 nucleotides long. The record is from RefSeq and is a predicted model, not a curated record. Lineage: Eukaryota; Metazoa; Chordata; Mammalia; Primates; Cebidae.
GGACGGAGGGUGGGGGGUAGGGUGGGACCCAGCACCUAGGUCGUGUGACACUGUCCUCCUGCCUUGGCACCUCAUGCUUGGGGCUUUGGGACAUAUGUCUGUGCUCAUAACUAGGAUGCUGUGAUUCCCUUCUCUUGCCUCAUAUCUGCUCACAUAGGAGUCAAUAACAUAUUGCUGGGCCCGCCAUCCAGUUACAUUCCUUCUCUGUCAUGACCCUCUUCUCAGAAAGCAUUGCGACACACUGUUGAGUCCACAGUCAAUGUGAUGUGAGUCCCCUGCGUGAACCCUGCCCACAGAGACCAUUGUGACGUCAUGUCUGGGGACUCAACUAUUCUCAGUGAUUGUCUUGUUACCCCUGCUCUUUGCCCACAGGAGCGGAUGUGGCUUGUCUCUGGGCCCAGCACCCAGGUGAGGUAACUGUGCUCGCCUGACUGGGCUGCGCUUACAAAAGAAAGAGUGACUUGUCACCGGGCCCGGCACACAGGCGAUGCGGUCCCCUUGUCUGGGUUCUCGUCCACAGGUAUCAUCAUGACAUACUUUUGGUCUCUUCUGCUGGGUGGCCUGUGUCGCCCCCUUCUUCCUGGGAAGUGUCCACCGACACUGAAAUGGAACAUUUCACCUGACUCAGCACCUACACGACCUGUCUCUCGUAUUACGCCUUGGCUUUUCCCACCGGGCUGAUUGGGACAUACAGCUGAGCACAGCCUCUAGGCUAUUUAACUCUUCUCUUCUCACGUGGUCCUACCCACAGGAGGUAUUGGGAUAUAUUUCUAAGCACUUCACCUAGGUAAUGACCCUUUUUGGGGCUUUCCCCGGAUACGGUACGGUGACCUAUUUCUGGACCAGCACCGAGGCGAUGUCCCUCAUUUCUCCUACCUGUUGCCUGUUAGGGCAAAGGAAUUCCUAGGGGUGUGAGUCUACAGAAACCGCGAUUCUUGCCUCCUCAGGAGAAACGACUCCACCGAGGGCCGUAAAGCAGGAGAGUUUCCGAGCAGCAGUAAACGUGUAUGAAGAAGCUUCGGAAGCGGAAGAGAAGGAGGGAAAGUACGCGUGGCAGAGUGCCAAGAGGAUGACUCACAAGGCAAAAGCAGGAUGCGACCUUUCGACCUGGCGUUUUAUAUGUUGGAAUGCCUCUGGGUUGUGGUUGUUGGUCGCGGUGUUGUCUUUCUUUGUUUUUCGUUUUGUUUCGUUUUUCUUCUUUUUUUAAAAGACGGAGUCUCGCCCUCUCGCCCAGGCUGGAGUUCAAUGGCCGGAUCUCGGCUCACCGCAACCUCCACCCCUCGGGUUCCGGGUGCCUGUCGCUCAGCUCUCUGUGGCUUCCUAAGUCGUGGUGACCUGAUGACGUUCACCGUUUUCUUCCCCGAGCUCGGCGGGGAAACAGAAACUCCCAGGGAUCCGUGGAAAAGCAGCAGCGUGUCGCUGCCCUUUCUAUCCAGGUUGCCGAGACUCCCCGUGUGGCAGGAAACAGGAAUGCCUCGUCAGGCCGUCUCUGCCCGGGAGAGUUUCUGUCUCCGUGCCUUCGCUCUCGUUUUCUAGAGGAACACGAACCGGAUCCACGCAGCUGCGUGUGUGAGAGUGUCGCGGCCACGGCGACACCCACAGACGUGGACGCCUUGACGGAGAGGGGGGGCUUGGAAAACUCAGGCCUGUCACGGGGGUUCGCUUCUGCACGCCACCCUCCCUGGUGACGUGUUCGAGCCCGGAGAGAGGCUUCCAGUUUCCGUAGAAUUCCUGGAGAACCCCAGAGGUCCAGCCCCCGAAGCCCCGCGUGUCCCUCCCCCGCCGCUCAGGCCCCACCCCCGACCACCCCACAGGGCCCUGGUGUCCCUGUGGUUUCCGGCUUGAGAGGGCGGGCUACCCCGCCCUGGGUCCCCGGAGCUCAUGCAAAUUCAGGAAGGGGUGGGGCCGCUAGGUCUCUAUAAAAGCGGCCCCUGGCUGGCGGGGCCGGACUCCUGGCUUGACCUGCCUGCAGGUGCGGUGCACAGCAGAGGUUGGCUGAGGCGCGCGGGAGCCGCCGGGCCUCUGUGUGCCUGUGUCUGUCUGUGACACUCGGCCCGGUCUCCCCGCGAUGGCUCUCCCCACAGCUCCCGGCAGCCCUCUCCCGGCGGAGGCCCGAGGGCGAGGAAGGCGAAAGAGGCUCGUUUGGACUCCGAGCCAGAGGGACGCCCUGCGAGCGUCCUUUGAGCGGAACCCGUACCCGGGCAUGGCCACCAGAGAACAGCUGGCCCAGGCCAUCGGCGUUCCGGAGCCCAGGGUCCAGAUUUGGUUUCAGAACGAGAGAUCGCGCCGGCUGAGGCAGCACCGGCGGGAAUCCAGGCCCUGGCCUGGGCCACGCGGCCCGCCAGAAGGCCGGCGAAAGCGGACGGCCGUGACCCAGUCCCAGACCGCCGUGCUCCUCCGGGCCUUCGAGCGAGAGCGCUUUCCGGACUUCGCCACCAGGGAGGAACUGGCCAGAGAGACGGGCCUCCCGGAGUCCAGGAUUCAGAUUUGGUUUCAGAAUCGAAGGGCCAGGCAUCCAGGCCGGGCUGGCAGGGGACCCGCGGCCGCAGGCGGCCCGCGCGACACGGCCCCCGGCGGGCGCGGCUCCUCUGCUCGCUCCUGGGUCGCCUCCACCCACACCGGGGCGUGGGGGGCGGCGCUUCCCGCACCCCAAGUGCCCUGCGCGCCUGGGGCCCUCCCACAGGGGCCCGUCGUGAGCCAGGCAGCAGGGGCCGUGCCCCUGCUCCUGCACGGACAGGCCCCACAGGCAGAAGGAAUCUCGCAACCUGACCCGGCGCUCGGGGCCCUCGGGGCUUUCGGGUUCGCCGCCCUGGCUCCUUCGGGGGUGGCGCUCCCCCAGCCUCAGAGCCUUCCGGGGCCUCCGCACCCGGGCAGAUGCCACGAGGAGCGGGAGCCGCAGCACGCCGGCCUGCCGGGGACGUGCUCCGUGGGACAGCUUGGGCCCGCUCAAGCCGACUCACAGGGGCGAGGUGUGCAGGGUCCCUGGUGGGGCUGGGGCCAGGGGCCCCAGGUGGCCGGGGCGGCAGGGGAACCCCAAGCCGCGCCACCUCCACCUCCGCAGCCCGCACCCCCGGAGGCCUCCGCCUGGCAGGGGCAGAUGCCAGCCCUGCAGGCGCCUUCCCAAGCGCUCCAGGAGCCGGAGGAGCGCUCGUCUGCGCUCACCUCCAGCCUGCUGGACGAGCUCCUGUCGACCCCAGAGUUUCAGCAGCAGGCACGACCUUUCCUAGAGACGGAGCCACUGGGGGAGCUGAAGGAGGUGGAAGAGCUCGCUUCCCUGGAGCCACCCCUCAGCGAGGAAGAAUACCGGGCUCUGCUGGAGGAGCUUUAAAAGCGGCGUGUCUUGGCGUCUCGCCCUCCCGCUGACCUGUCUGGGAUCCCUGAGUGCCAGGUCCGUCCGUCCGGACCAACGGAGGGACCCCACAGCCUUAAAGCAUUUCGGGAGCUCAAUGCGAUGCGUGCCAGUCCUCGUUUCACCCACGGGGUUCACAGACGGCAUAUCCCCACGGCGAACCCUGCAACGGAGCGCGAGGCAGUCUCAUCCCCACAGGGGUCACCCUCGGGCCGAUUGAAGCGUGAUUUCCGACUUCAGCCUGUGAUCGGCUGGGUGUGCGCGUGCGCGCGUGUGCAUGGAUUUGAGGCUCCUGCGGCCUGUCUUGCCGUUUCGCUGACCUGCCUGGGAGCCCUCAGUUCUAGGUCCGUCCGGUGAGAGACAGCACACAGGGCGGGGCUGUGCUGUCAUUCUCUCCCCAGCAUCUAGGGAACCCCAGAACCCGCCCAGGGCCCGGGAGCUGGGCGGUCUAGUGCGCGUGCGCGGGUCUGCAGGCAGCCCGCGGCCGCUUCUGGGGACCAGCGCAGGCAGAGCUGUCGGCCCUCCUCGCAGCCCUGCCCCCACGCCACCCGGCCUACUUCAGGAGGGUGGGCGGAGGGAGCGUUUCGCCCCCCCCCCCCGGAAACACCGGGCCGGGUCCCCAGGCAGGCCGGCUCUCCAUUCCGCUGCACCCCUCUUCUGCCUCCCCGAUUCGCCCACCGAUCACUCGCACACCGGUGCCCCGCCAGCUUCCCCGCCAUCACCGAGUAGCGCCUGGCAGCUCAAUAUAGACCCGAGACCACUCCUCCCACGGCCCCGCUACGAACGACCCCGCGGGCAAACGGAAGGGCUGCUUUCUCCAGGCCGGAGGGAAGGCGGGUAGAGAAGCGGGGAGGAUCCCAGGCCGCGAGGGAGGGACGAGGGAAGGGAGGGAAGGACGCAA